GCCGAGUCCCAGGUCAACAAGCUGCGGGCCAAGAGCCGCGACAUCGGCGCCAAGGGCUUGAACGAGGAGUAGCUGUGCCACAUCUCCUUGAUCUGCCCCGUCCUGAGGGUGCAACGAAGCUCCCAGUCCUGGAGCCUGGAGAGCAGCCCCUUUGGAGGAAGCAGAAUAAAGCAAUUUUCCUUGAAGUGA
Long non-coding RNA from Aethalodelphis obliquidens (Pacific white-sided dolphin), 189 nucleotides. RefSeq lists it as uncharacterized. The record is from RefSeq and is a predicted model, not a curated record. The transcript is spliced from 2 exons. NCBI's taxonomy places the organism in Eukaryota, Metazoa, Chordata, Mammalia, Artiodactyla, Delphinidae.